RNAcentral lists this ribosomal RNA (293 nucleotides) under uncultured Glissomonadida. RNAcentral describes it as "partial 18S ribosomal RNA". The stretch from base 107 to 293 matches the Rfam family "Eukaryotic small subunit ribosomal RNA", at positions 738 to 955 of the family's 1831-position model. The record is from RNAcentral. Lineage: Eukaryota; Cercozoa; Glissomonadida.
GAUUUCUGGUUUAAUGCACCUGGCCCGCGGCCACUAGGCUUGUGAGUGCCGGCGCGCGUUUACCAUCCUUCUAGAAAACGUUUCUGCCAUUAACUUGGUUGGGAAUGCGAUCUAGAUCUUUUACUUUGAAAAAAUUACAGUGUUUAAAGCAGGCUUUUGCUAUGAAUACAUUAGCAUGGAAUAAUAAUCUAGGACUUCGGUUCUAUUUUGUUGGUUUCUAUACCUGAAGUAAUGAUUGAUAGGGAUAGGUGAAAUUCUUGGAUUCGGUCAAGAAUAACUUAUGCGAAAGCAUU